GACGAACGCUGGCGGCGUGCUUAACACAUGCAAGUCGAGCGGUAAGGCCCUUUCGGGGGCACACGAGCGGCGAACGGGUGAGUAACACGUGGGUGACCUGCCCUCAGCUCUGGGAUAAGCCCGGGAAACUGGGUCUAAUACUGGAUAUGACUCCAUGACGCAUGUUGUGGGGUGGAAAGCCUUGUGCGGCUGGGGAUGGGCCCGCGGCCUAUCAGCUUGUUGGGGGGUGAUGGCCUACCAAGGCGACGACGGGUAGCCGGCCUGAGAGGGCGACCAGCCACACUGGGACUGAGACACGGCCCAGACUCCUACGGGAGGCAGCAGUGGG
RNAcentral lists this ribosomal RNA (328 nucleotides) under uncultured bacterium. RNAcentral describes it as "bacterial SSU rRNA". It matches the Rfam family "Bacterial small subunit ribosomal RNA", at positions 28 to 358 of the family's 1533-position model. The record is from RNAcentral.